RNAcentral lists this long non-coding RNA (1653 nucleotides) under Helianthus annuus (common sunflower). RNAcentral describes it as "hypothetical non coding rna". Lineage: Eukaryota; Viridiplantae; Streptophyta; Magnoliopsida; Asterales; Asteraceae. The record is from RNAcentral.
AUGCACAAAUCAGAUUUUCUUAGAACCCAAAACCGGGUAGGAACCAGGCCAGGGUUUGGUCGACAAAGUCAAGAACCGGAUAGGGUAGGAAAUCGGUUCCGGGCAUGAAUGAUCAUUGCAUAUGUUGCUGUAAUGUCGCAUGAGGAAGCAAUGAGUUGAGUAGAUCUUCAUUCAGCUUCACUGGAAGUGGCGGCAUCUGCUUCAGUUUCUCUGGGGUGUCGAUUAAACUGCGGUAAAUAACAAACUGGUUGAGUCACCGGUCAAAAACUCGGCGUUUUCAUCGGUUUGGAUUGACCCACAAUCAUUAAUUCGUACAUUUUAAUUUGCUAACAAUAGCUCUUCGGGGUAUUGUUAACAACUACCUUUUACUUACUUUUAAGAAAAUUGAUUUUAAUGAUCUCAACUUCGACAUAUUGGUCGACGACAGUCCCAACUAAGGAAAUGUUUUGCGACAGUCCCAGCUUUUAACUUAUUUUCCCUCAGCGAUCUCAUACUAACUAACUAACUAACUGAUCUCAUACUAACUAACGGUUAACCCGGUUAGUUUUUGACUUUUUGCUUACGUGGGGUGCCACAUAAGCAGUCCAUGUCAUCAAAACAAGCAAUCCACUUCAUCAAAACAUUGCCACCUAGGCAGCCCACAACCUCAAAACUUUGACUUAUCUGCCACAUCAGCAAAACUUUGACUUUUUUGCCACAUAAGCAAUCAACGUCAGCAAAAACUAACUGGGUUAACUUUUUGUUAGUAUGGGACCGCUGAGGGAAAAUAGUUUAAAAGUUAGGACUGUUACUAAACAUUUCCUUAGCUGGGACUGUCGCUAACCAAUAUGUCAAAGAUGGAAUUAUUAAAAUACAAUUUUCCUUGUUGUUAUGAUUAAAAUAUAUUAAUAUUUGGAUUUUGGAUAUAAUCUCCGGUUAUUUUUUCAUUUUUUAAUGGGUACAACUUGCAAGAGAAAAUGAAGAUACACGAGAUAAUUGGUGGUAAGGGAUGUUUUUAGGGCGAGAUGAGUAAACGGGUCAAAAUUGCCACAUGUUGGUUAUAGGGCGAGAUGAUAACUUACUUGCUCAUGAUGUCACGGAUGUUUUUCCUAACUUGACAAAGGAGACUGAUAUUCUCAUGUACCUGUAGCAAGUAUCAUAAGUCGAGAGUCUUCAGCUAGUUCGAAACUGAGCCGAACAAAGUUUUACCGUAGACUUUCAGGCAGGCGAGUUUUUACUAGAAUCGGUGGCUUGGUGGAACGGGUAUGCAUCCAACUAUGACCGUUUUGGAGGAGGAGAUGCAUUUGCUCGAUUGAGGGCAUUCCAGAAUACUUAUCCGGUGAUUUAAUUGACCGUUAAAAAAUAAUUUAAAGGAUAAAAUUGUAGAAAAUGUGUCGUGCUUAAAAUUUCAAGUUUCAACUUUUAGAUUUAAAAAAAAAAAGGAAAAGUUCAAAGUCUUCUAAAAACGGGAAGUCAUAAGAAAGUCAUCAAACGGAUUUCGAUUGAACUUAUUCAAUCGCCAUUGGAAUUAUCUCGUCAAACUUUACGAUAUUUGAUUUUAGGUUUUCACUUUUUUAUUUUUAGCUUAUAGAUUUUACAACUUUUGUUUGUAUCAUUGUACCUUUUUUAUUCAUCAUUGUGUUUUAUUUUCGUCAUUGUAUCUUUCUUUGUGAU